RNAcentral lists this ribosomal RNA (141 nucleotides) under uncultured Desulfovibrionales bacterium. Its description in RNAcentral is "partial 16S ribosomal RNA". It matches the Rfam family "Bacterial small subunit ribosomal RNA", at positions 335 to 468 of the family's 1533-position model. Lineage: Bacteria; Pseudomonadati; Thermodesulfobacteriota; Desulfovibrionia; Desulfovibrionales. The record is from RNAcentral.
GGGCCUACGGGAGGCAGCAGUGGGGAAUAUUGCGCAAUGGGCGAAAGCCUGACGCAGCGACGCCGCGUGAGGGAUGAAGGCCUUCGGGUCGUAAACCUCUGUCAGGAGGGAAGAACCGCCAUGGUGCUAAUCAGCCAUGGU